This 370-nucleotide ribosomal RNA is filed under the name uncultured bacterium. RNAcentral's name for it is "bacterial SSU rRNA". It matches the Rfam family "Bacterial small subunit ribosomal RNA", at positions 29 to 416 of the family's 1533-position model. The record is from RNAcentral.
AAUGAACGUUGGCGGCGUGGAUUAGGCAUGCAAGUCGAGCGAGAACCCAGCAAUGGGGGACAGCGGCGAAAGGGACAGUAAUGUGUAGAUCAUCUGCCCUCAGGCCCGGGAUAGCUGCGGGAAACUGCAGGUAAUACCGGAUAAUAUCUCCGGAUCAAAGGUGUGAUUCCGCCUGGGGAUGAGUCUACAUCCUAUUAGCUAGUUGGUAGGGUAAUGGCCUACCAAGGCAUUGAUGGGUAGCGGGUGUGAGAGCACGACCCGCGUCAUUGGGACUGAGACACUGCCCAGACACCUACGGGUGGCUGCAGUCGAGAAUCUUCGGCAAUGGGCGCAAGCCUGACCGAGCGACGCCGCGUGCGGGAUGAAGGCC